AGCGGCGGACGGGUGAGUAAGGAGGGGGUAACCUGCCCUGUACACACGGAUAACAUACCGAAAGGUAUGCUAAUACGAGAUAAUAUGCUUUUAUCGCAUGGUAGAAGUAUCAAAGCUUUUGCGGUACAAGAUGGACCCGCGUCUGAAUAGCCAGUUGGUAAGGUAACGGCUUACCAAGGCGACGAUCAGUAGCCGACCUGAGAGGGUGAUCGGCCACAUUGGAACUGAGACACGGUCCAAACUCCUACGGGAGGCAGCAGUGGGGAAUAUUGCACAAUGGGCGAAAGCCUGAUGCAGCAACGCCGCGUGAGCGAUGAAGGCCUUCGGGUCGUAAAGCUCUGUCCUCAAGGAAGAUAAUGACGGUACUUGAGGAGGAAGCCCCGGCUAACUACGUGCCAGCAGCCGCGGUAAUACGUAGGGGGCUAGCGUUAUCCGGAAUUACUGGGCGUAAAGGGUGCGUAGGUGGUUUCUUAAGUCAGAGGUGAAAGGCUACGGCUCAACCGUAGUAAGCCUUUGAAACUGGGAAACUUGAGUGCAGGAGAGGAGAGUGGAAUUCCUAGUGUAGCGGUGAAAUGCGUAGAUAUUAGGAGGAACACCAGUUGCGAAGGCGGCUCUCUGGACUGUAACUGACACUGAGGCACGAAAGCGUGGGGAGCAAACAGGAUUAGAUACCCUGGUAGUCCACGCCGUAAACGAUGAGUACUAGCUGU
RNAcentral lists this ribosomal RNA (710 nucleotides) under uncultured bacterium. RNAcentral's name for it is "bacterial SSU rRNA". It matches the Rfam family "Bacterial small subunit ribosomal RNA", at positions 94 to 823 of the family's 1533-position model. The record is from RNAcentral.